UCAAAGGCUCUUUUAAGAGCCAACAAAGAGAGGGAGAGUUUUUUCGU
Oryzias latipes (Japanese medaka) is the source of this 47-nucleotide non-coding RNA. The record is from Rfam. NCBI's taxonomy places the organism in Eukaryota, Metazoa, Chordata, Actinopteri, Beloniformes, Adrianichthyidae.